RNAcentral lists this ribosomal RNA (253 nucleotides) under uncultured bacterium. RNAcentral describes it as "partial 16S ribosomal RNA". It matches the Rfam family "Bacterial small subunit ribosomal RNA", at positions 524 to 776 of the family's 1533-position model. The record is from RNAcentral.
UACGAGGGGGGCGAGCGUUGUUCGGAAUUAUUGGGCGUAAAGGGUGCGUAGGCGGUUCCGCAAGUCCUGUGUGAAAUCUUCGGGCUCAACUCGAAGUCUGCACGGGAAACUGCGGGGCUUGAGUGUGGGAGAGGUGAGUGGAAUUUCCGGUGUAGCGGUGAAAUGCGUAGAUAUCGGAAGGAACACCAGUGGCGAAAGCGGCUUCCUGGUCCGACACCGACGGUCAGGCACGAAAGCGUGGGGAGCAAACAGG